GUCUGACCUCACCUCGGGUAAUAUGCUUCAAAUACAGGUGGGAACUCCACUGGACUCUGCUGGAAGAUGAACCCAUGCCACUUUGUUUCUGCUGCAGACCGAGGUCCAUCCUGUUUCUCCUUCCAGCUGUUGGAGUGCAGCUCUGGGCUCCCCACAGCCCCACCUGGGAAGAACCUCCCUCUGGAUGUCUGCAACCCCAGCAACUGUGCCCAAGCAAAUCUCAGCCUGUGCUCUGUGCCGGGUCCAUGCUCCCUCCCUGACCUAUGGGAAUGAGAUCUGAGCUCAUUCAUUGAGCGAAACUCAAAAAUAAAGUAACUGGAAAGCUAAUAUAAUUCA
Suricata suricatta (meerkat) is the source of this 336-nucleotide long non-coding RNA. RefSeq lists it as uncharacterized. The transcript is spliced from 2 exons. The record is from RefSeq and is a predicted model, not a curated record. Lineage: Eukaryota; Metazoa; Chordata; Mammalia; Carnivora; Herpestidae.